UUGUACCCCUAUUAAGAACAAAUACAUGCACCGGUGCUUAACCCGAGUUAAGGUGUUUCGAUGAUCCCAAUUGCACCUUCGUAAAGAGGUAAAGCAUCAAGUGGUCAAAUAAAUGAAAAGGGAAUUCAAAUUUAUGUUCAAGUGGCCGAUAAUCAAACUGAAUUCCCGCCCGUAUAGGCUAAUUAGUAUUGAAAUCCAUACCUUAAACUUUGUUUAAAUUCUCAAUUUUAUACGUCUCAGAUGAUGUUUGGCCAAAAGUAGUGACGGAGAAUGCGAACUUUCGUCUUUCGAUCGCAAGGCGACACUUCACGUGACAAUUUCGGGAUGGUUUCACGAAAGCUAACAGGAACAACAAUCUGGUGUUGAGUAAACAAGACGGACGAGACAGAUUCAGUUGGUCGAGAUAGCCUGUCCUAAGCCUCGUGCACUCAUCAGAAGUGUCCAACGGGUCACCAAAAGCUGCCAUGCUGGUGGGAAAAUAUGGGAGAACGAUUCAAGAUGGGAGUGCCUUGACAAAAGAAUUCGAUAAACUUUUUAAAACUGGUGGACAGUUCGGGUUAUAUUGGCCUACCCCUUUUUACGGUUCGAGGACAGAUUUGCAUGAGAAUUUCCACUUUUAUGUGCUGCUUUAAAUGUGCAAAGUAUUUGAAUGCUUCUGUAAACUGAAUACUCGGAGAUACGGCGUAAUAAAAGCAACACUGCAUUAAAGGUUGAAA
Molecule: long non-coding RNA, 716 nt
Organism: Acanthaster planci (crown-of-thorns starfish)
Lineage: Eukaryota; Metazoa; Echinodermata; Asteroidea; Valvatida; Acanthasteridae
Source: RefSeq, a predicted model, not a curated record